AUUCUUCUCCCUUGUUCCAUCUUGCUCACCUCCUCCUCUCUAUUUGUCUCACUCAUCUCUCUAUAUUUAUACUCUUUCCUCUUCUCUACUUCUCUUUUCUGAUCAUAUCAGCCCUGUAAUUUUCUCUCCGCCGCCAGCAUGUUUUGGCAGAAAAGCUGAAGACCAGUUCUGCACUUCUUCGAAAAUUACUGUCGUGCCCCUCUAAUUUAAAUAAUAUCUUCCUCCCAUAAUAUCACAACACCACGCAUACCAUAAAAAACAGACACUUCGAAAAGGCUCUCCCUCAAAAUUUCAGCACCUUCGGACCAUCUGUGUGGCCCCAUGUGCCGCCUGAAUCAUUUCCAGUGUUGCCCCUUAAGUCGCUAGUUUCUUGUGCUUUGCUUAUCACAUUCACCUGACCUACCAUCACUUGGAGUUUCAUCACCAAAGACUGGCCGCUGGCCACUCACAUGCUAGCUACAUCUGUGUGAGGCUCCCCCCACCCCCGGGACGGGAUCUGCAACUUCCUAAACUGAAAGAGAACUGUUUCCAGCCACUCUAUUAUGAAUCUUUCCUUCAAAGGCCUGCAAUUUUGUGAAGAUAUUUGUUGGUAAUGUUGAUUACUUGGAGGAUCUACUUGCUGCCAACAUCAAGAACCCGACCAAAUUGCUGCCAUUUGUAAGUUUAGGGUUUGUUUUACUUGAAGAUAGUGCUUGAGAAAUUGAGAGUCAGAUUUGUGGUUUUACAUGAGCAGAUUGAGAAUUGUGGGCGAAUUGUGUUAAGGACUUCUGGUGAUGCAUAGUUGCAGUAUACAUAUGUUAAUCCAGCAACAUGGUGACAAAUUAUUGGAAAAGGAACAACAUUUGUCAAACAUUGGGCAUAAUUCAAGCUUUUUCACACCUUUCUACCAACCAAUCAAGACAAAGAAUCUUGUUACUCAACCUGAAGACGCUGCAAGCAAGGAAAUGCAUGUGUUUGAAGACGCCCAAAGUCUUUCAAACGGUACUAUUGUUGAGUUUGUCAUUCUCAACGUGUUCAUUGAUGCCAAUUCUCGGUUCAAUUCUACGGUGCUGCCAAAGUAAUGUGGUUUCUUGCAUCACUCAUCCACCAACUUUCGAAUAGUCCUUGUUUGCUUCUUAGGAGAAGAAGCCAGACCAUGGGAAGACUCUUGUUGGUGACUAAUUCAAAAGAAUUGGGUCAAGCCAAGGGACGUCAGAAGUAAGGGAAAGUCUAUGGUCUCUAGCCAAAGCUAUUAUCAAGACUCAAAAAUUGACAGCUCCUCUACAAAUACUGAACUUCUACACCUAUUGAGGGAGCAGGGUUCAUGGAAGCAGUCACAAGGAUUAAGUUUAGGCAAUGUGGAUUAUCCUUACUUUCUACCAGGAAGGAAACAACCAUUUUCUGCACUGGAAGAUCCAUUUUAUCCAGAUCCUAGGGGAUAUCCUCAUGGACGUUUGGAGAGUUUGUUUCCUGUUGCAAGUGCAAGGUUUACUGUUUAAUUUUUCCUAUUUGUAUUUCUAAUUUGUGCUUACAGUAACUUUUCUUAAGUUCUUCGAAUGCCUGGUUGACCACCUGCCAAUGUUUUUUAUCAAUUACAAGAAGUAAAUGUUUUUUUUUUAUUGCUUUAUAGUUAUGAUGAUACUUUUUAUUGCUUUGUUGUCA
This is an RNA transcript of Malania oleifera, 1641 nucleotides long. RefSeq lists it as uncharacterized. The record is from RefSeq and is a predicted model, not a curated record. NCBI's taxonomy places the organism in Eukaryota, Viridiplantae, Streptophyta, Magnoliopsida, Santalales, Ximeniaceae. The transcript has 5 exons.